RNAcentral lists this unclassified non-coding RNA (179 nucleotides) under uncultured Xylaria. RNAcentral describes it as "sequence contains ITS1". Lineage: Eukaryota; Fungi; Ascomycota; Sordariomycetes; Xylariales; Xylariaceae. The record is from RNAcentral.
AAGAGUUAUUAUAAACUCCCAAACCCAUGUGAACAUACCUAUCGUUGCUUCGGCAGGUCGCGUCUACCCUGUAAGCUCCUACCCUGGAGCACCCUACCCGGUAGACGCGGGUAAGCCUGCCGGUGGCCCACGAAACUCUGUUUAAUAUUGAAACUCUGAAUCUAUAACUAAAUAAGUUA